GCCAGUGUGGUACAGUGGUUUGAACAUUGGACUACGAUUCCAGAGACCAGGGUUCAAUUUCCCAUUUGUC
Non-coding RNA from Phrynosoma platyrhinos (Desert horned lizard), 70 nucleotides. The record is from the annotation of a GenBank genome assembly. NCBI's taxonomy places the organism in Eukaryota, Metazoa, Chordata, Lepidosauria, Squamata, Phrynosomatidae.